Molecule: ribosomal RNA, 440 nt
Filed under: uncultured bacterium
Lineage: Bacteria
Description: partial 16S ribosomal RNA
Rfam family: Bacterial small subunit ribosomal RNA
Source: RNAcentral
CCUACGGGAGGCUGCAGUAGGGAAUCUUGCUCACUGGGGGAAACCCUGAAGCAGCAACGCCGCGUGGAGGAUGAAGGUUUUCGGAUUGUAAAAUCCUUUUGUUAGAGAAGAUAAUGACGGUAUCUAACGAAUAAGCCCCGGCUAACUACGUGCCAGCAGCCGAGGUAAUACGGAGGGUGCACGCGUUACUCGGAAUCACUGGGCGUAAAGAGAGCGUCGGCGGGAUAGCAAGUCAGAUGUGAAAUCCUAUGGCUUAACCAGAGAACUGCAUUUGAAACUGUUAUUCUAGAGUAUGGGAGAGGUAGGUGGAAUUCUUGGUGUAGGGGUAAAAUCCGUAGAGAUCAAGAGGAAUACUCAUUGCGAAGGCGACCUGCUAGAACAUAACUGACGCUGAUGCGCGAAAGCGUGGGUAGCAAACAGGAUUAGAUACCCCUGUAGUC